Molecule: non-coding RNA, 755 nt
Filed under: Pan troglodytes (chimpanzee)
Lineage: Eukaryota; Metazoa; Chordata; Mammalia; Primates; Hominidae
Source: RNAcentral
GCACUGAACUCCCAGACUUAGCUGGGCCUCAGUGCUCUUCUUGGGUUUGGUCAUAGAGCCCAAGAGGAGGUGGAUAAGCUGCCUGACACUGAUAUGGUAAAAGGAUUAUCUGCAAAUUUCUAGCGUCAUCAAGACUGGCCUCUUUGAAGAGAUCAGCAAUGCGUUUAGAUGCUGAUGGAAGGAGCCAGAAAAAAGGAAAAGGAGAAUAUUGAGGUGAGACGAGAUCUCCAAAUGCCCAGGUCAUGACCCCCAGGAGACCUGGAGGACUGAAUGCUGCUGUCCCCAAGGAGGAGGCUGCCGUCUUAUCCCAGGAGGGAGAGCAGGUGAAGUCCCCAGGGGAGGAAGCACCUAGCCCCAUUCCUGCUGAGCAGGAGGUGGCAGGUACCCCAGACUGGGAGGUAAGGACAGCCCAGGGCUUCAACUGAACGUCUCCGGCAUGGGUCCGACUGAGCAGCCAUGGAGCACUGCAGAGUGGGAGGCAGCAGGGCAGGGAGGCAGUGCUGGAGGCUGGCUCAACCCCAAGACCAGCAGGCCAAGCUGCCAUCCCAGGGGAGCGAGGACGUCUGUGCAGAGCUGAGAGGCAGCAGCCAUAUGUGAACAGACUGGGCCUCAUCCUGGCCCCACCGACUUUGUGUGGACAGAGCCUGUUUCCCUGUCUGUGCAACACAGAACCUGCCUGAUCUCACUGCUGGAUCCCUCUUCUUCCUGCCAGGAAAAUAAAAAGGUUCAAAAAGAAGUUGCUGCGUAUCCAUCUG